CUACUCCAUCUAAACGAUAUCCACGAUCUCAUCGAAAGACAGGGACAACUUAGCCUCUAUCAAGUGGUAUCAGAUUUUCAGGUUGCUCGGUGAGAUUCUACCAGUUUUUCAUCUUUAGAUCGGAUCUGUUCUUCAUACCUAUCGUCCACGAAACAGCCAAAAAAAAAAUAUUAGGCUUAGAUCAUCCUAUCCGAACCAAUCUGAGCCUUUGCAUAAUCUUUUCAGUAGUUUGCUUAGUUGAAUUUGCGGUUACAUCGUCGUGUCGAGUUGCUGGUCUUAGUGUCUAGUUCUUUAGAGUUUCGAGUUCUGUUCAUAGUUGUCACGCCGUCACCGCAUCGUAUUUCAUCAUAUACCAC
Molecule: long non-coding RNA, 356 nt
Filed under: Hordeum vulgare
Lineage: Eukaryota; Viridiplantae; Streptophyta; Magnoliopsida; Poales; Poaceae
Description: long non-coding RNA (HVUL_LNC012235)
Source: RNAcentral